GGACUUCCCCGUGUUCGGCGACUUGUGGACUUGUUGAUAAGAGGCUGUAUUGUAUACUGUAUACUUUUGCUCCACUACAUUUGUUUGACAGCCGUAGUUACUGGUUACUUUGGAAAUACUGGAUCUGACUACUUCUUCCACCACUGCUUAUUCGACAAGUCUGAACAGAUACAGCGAAAAUCCAUGUGGGAAAACAAUUAAAAAAGAUUCAGAAGGAGGAGUGUGAGCUGUGUGAUCAGGGAGAAGUGGAAAGUGAGUCCCAUUGUCCUUUCUACUGUACAUAUGAUGUGAUAUCAUAUGAUAUCAUAUGAUUUAAGAAAGUCAAAUUUCCAUGAAAUGGCUCAACACAACCCUGAAAAAAUAUUUAGGUGUUCAGAUGAUCAAAAAUAGGAAUGGUUGUUUAAUUUUGAUGUGUUUUAGUUUGCUAACUUUGUCUCAAAAGUCUGGAAAAGAAGGAAAGAUCGACUAUUUAAUUAGUAUUUACUCUGAUUUCUCCAGUGUUAUAUAGUAGUAGGAGUAGGUUUUCUCGAUUAUUGGACUUUUUUUAAAUUUUGAAAAUGUAUACACAGCACCUUUGAUCUGGAUUCAUUUGUGUUGUCUUGUAAGCCUAUCCAAGCUGGGCAUAAUUGUAGGGAAUGCAUGGAACAAUGAUAAAACAGUUAAAUCAUAAAUUAGUUUCUAAACGCUCAUUCUUUACAUUUUUUAUCAUAAUUACAGCAAAUUUUAAGCUAGAAGUCAUUAAAGAUAUAGGUGUGUAUAAAAGUACACAGUAGUCUAUAAGAUGGGGGUAAGAACAACCAUUAAAUAAGUAAUUAUGAUGCUAUAGGCUAUACCACUACUAUCAUGCAAUUUUAUUGUGUCAACUUUUAACAAACGUCAUGGAGUAAAGGCAAAAUAAAACUAUUUCUCAUAUUGCUUGGGGGUCACCUGGGGAACAUUAAAACUGUGUCAGCAUCUGUGGUUUAUUAUUAUAUUAUGUGAUAACUGUCCCCACGCACAAUUUCUAUUUUUCCUCUGAGUUGGUCUUAAAAUGACCAGGGGCACCUGAACGCAGCAGCACUCAGACUAUACAAUGACAUUGCCUUAUCUCCCUUAUCCAGCAGCAACAGAUGCAUCAUAAACAUACUGUAAGCAUACAACCCUGUUUGUUGUCUGUGAGAGUGAGAGUCUGGCAGUAUCUGACUCGUCCUCUCUUUAAUUCUUUGUCAUGAACAUUCAACUAGUCCAUUUCUAGCAGACCUUUGCAGACAUACUGUAGAACAUUGUGUGCUGUUUGGUCACUGAUGGGUGUUGCCUACUUAUGG
This is a long non-coding RNA of Siniperca chuatsi (mandarin fish), 1304 nucleotides long. RefSeq lists it as uncharacterized. The transcript is spliced from 3 exons. Lineage: Eukaryota; Metazoa; Chordata; Actinopteri; Centrarchiformes; Sinipercidae. The record is from RefSeq and is a predicted model, not a curated record.